AUUCGGUCCCUUUGCGAGUAAUUUGCAAUCAUGUGAUUUUCAUUUUAUUAGGAGAGAUACUAACCACCUGGCUCAUUUGUUAGCCCCGAGCACCCUUAGCGGUCCUCUACAAUCCGAGGGACCAAAUUAAGCUUGUAUCUUCACUGCUUCAUGCAGUUCCUUAUUAAUGAAUGAUCUUUUGGAAAGGAAAAAUAAAUUCCUAAAAGAGAAUUGCCA
This 216-nucleotide unclassified non-coding RNA is filed under the name Hevea brasiliensis (rubber tree). The record is from RNAcentral. Lineage: Eukaryota; Viridiplantae; Streptophyta; Magnoliopsida; Malpighiales; Euphorbiaceae.